This 492-nucleotide ribosomal RNA is filed under the name uncultured bacterium. RNAcentral describes it as "bacterial SSU rRNA". It matches the Rfam family "Bacterial small subunit ribosomal RNA", at positions 791 to 1289 of the family's 1533-position model. The record is from RNAcentral.
UAGUCCACGCUGUAAACGAUGAAGACUCGCUGUUGGCGAUACACAGCCAGUGGCCAAGCGAAAGCGUUAAGUCUUCCACCUGGGGAGUACGAUCGCAAGAUUGAAACUCAAAGGAAUUGACGGGGGUCCGCACAAGCGGUUGAGCAUGUGGUUUAAUUCGAUGAUACGCGAGGAACCUUACCAGGGCUUAAAUGUAGAUUGACAGGUUUAGAGAUAGACUUUUCUUCGGACAAUUUACAAGGUGCUGCAUGGUUGUCGUCAGCUCGUGCCGUGAGGUGUCAGGUUAAGUCCUAUAACGAGCGCAACCCCUGUUGUUAGUUGCCAGCGAUUCAAGUUGGGAACUCUAACAAGACUGCCAGUGCAAACUGAGAGGAAGGUGGGGAUGACGUCAAAUCAUCACGGCCCUUACGUCCUGGGCUACACACGUGCUACAAUGGUAGGUACAGAGAGCAGCCACUGCGCGAGCAGGAGCGAAUCUAUAAAACCUAUCAC